This 369-nucleotide long non-coding RNA is filed under the name Olea europaea subsp. europaea. Lineage: Eukaryota; Viridiplantae; Streptophyta; Magnoliopsida; Lamiales; Oleaceae. The record is from RNAcentral.
UUUUUUUUCUAUUUCUUCUCCUAUAACUUUAUCUUCUCUAAUUCUUCUCUAUUAAAUUCGACCAUAUCAGAAAACUGAUUCGAUUUACUCUGAACUAUAGAAAGGUUGUUUGAAUUGGUUGUGUCUCGAAUCUCUCUGGCUCAUUGAACUUGAAAAUUACAAUACUUUGAUAAAUUCAAAUAUAUGUUCUGAGCAUGGCCUUAUAUGUGUAUGUACAAGUAAUGAGUGGUUUUGGUUUUUCAUUUCUAUAGAAUCGUGAUCAUCUACAUUAUAUACUCUUGUUUCUGCUGGAAAGUGUUGUCUAAAUUUUAGUAACCUGCAGUUACUAUUUAUAAUCUGGGACCGAAUGUGGUGUUGACUCACUAAAAU